Molecule: transfer RNA, 88 nt
Filed under: Cercophora newfieldiana
Lineage: Eukaryota; Fungi; Ascomycota; Sordariomycetes; Sordariales; Lasiosphaeriaceae
Rfam family: tRNA
About the family: Transfer RNA (tRNA) molecules are approximately 80 nucleotides in length. Their secondary structure includes four short double-helical elements and three loops (D, anti-codon, and T loops).
Source: Rfam by way of RNAcentral
UCUUCCGUAGUAUAGUGGUCAGUAUGUGAGCUUGUCAUCUCUCAAGACGACUUCGCUCGAGACCCGGGUUCAAUUCCCGGCGGGAGAG